GAACCUGCGGAAGGAUCAUUACCGAGUGCGGGCGCCUCUGGGUCCAACCUCCCAUCCGUGUCUAUCUGUACCCUGUUGCUUCGGCGUGGCCACGGCCCGCCGGAGACUAACAUUUGAACGCUGUCUGAAGUUUGCAGUCUGAGUUUUUAGUUAAACAAUCGUUAAAACUUUCAACAACGGAUCUCUUGGUUCCGGCAUCGAUGAAGAACGCAGCGAAAUGCGAUAAUUAAUGUGAAUUGCAGAAUUCAGUGAAUCAUCGAGUCUUUGAACGCACAUUGCGCCCCCUGGUAUUCCGGGGGGCAUGCCUGUCCGAGCGUCAUUGCUGCCCUCAAGCACGGCUUGUGUGUUGGGCUUCCGUCCCUGGCAACGGGGACGGGCCCAAAAGGCAGUGGCGGCACCAUGUCUGGUCCUCGAGCGUAUGGGGCUUUGUCACCCGCUCCCGUAGGUCCAGCUGGCAGCUAGCCUCGCAACCAAUCUUUUUAACCAGGUUGACCUCGGAUCAGGUAGGGAUACCCGCUGAACUUAAGCAUAUCAAU
RNAcentral lists this ribosomal RNA (536 nucleotides) under Aspergillus chevalieri. Its description in RNAcentral is "eukaryotic LSU rRNA". The stretch from base 166 to 319 matches the Rfam family "5.8S ribosomal RNA". The record is from RNAcentral. Lineage: Eukaryota; Fungi; Ascomycota; Eurotiomycetes; Eurotiales; Aspergillaceae.